UGGGGGAUAUUGCACAAUGGGCGAAAGCCUGAUGCAGCGACGCCGCGUGGGGGAUGAAGGCCUUCGGGUUGUAAACUUCUUUUGCUCUGAACAAGGCGCACCAUGGGGUGUGUUGAGUGUAGGGGUUGAUUAGCGCCGGCUAACUACGUGCCAGCAGCCGCGGUAAUACGUAGGGCGCGAGCGUUGUCCGGAAUUAUUGGGCGUAAAGGGCUUGUAGGUGGCUGGUUGCGUCUGUCGUGAAAGCUCAUGGCUUAACUGUGGGUUUGCGGUGGGUACGGGCUGGCUUGAGUGCAGUAGGGGAGGCUGGAAUUCCUGGUGUAACGGUGGAAUGCGCAGAUAUCAGGAGGAAUACCGGUGGCGAAGGCGGGUCUCUGGGCUGUUACUGACACUGAGGAGCGAAAGCAUGGGGAGCGAACAGG
This 419-nucleotide ribosomal RNA is filed under the name bacterium. RNAcentral describes it as "partial 16S ribosomal RNA". It matches the Rfam family "Bacterial small subunit ribosomal RNA", at positions 355 to 776 of the family's 1533-position model. The record is from RNAcentral.